CCUACGGGGGGCUGCAGUGGGGAAUAUUGGGCAAUGGGCGCAAGCCUGACCCAGCAACGCCGCGUGAAGGAAGAAGGCUUUCGGGUUGUAAACUUCUUUUAUGAGGGACGAAAGAAAUGACGGUACCUCAUGAAUAAGCCACGGCUAACUACGUGCCAGCAGCCGCGGUAAUACGUAGGUGGCAAGCGUUAUCCGGAUUUACUGGGUGUAAAGGGCGUGUAGGCGGGACUGCAAGUCAGAUGUGAAAAUUAUGGGCUCAACCCAUAAACUGCAUUUGAAACUGUAGUUCUUGAGUGAUGGAGAGGUCAUCGGAAUUCCUUGUGUAGCGGUGAAAUGCGUAGAUAUAAGGAAGAACACCAGUGGCGAAGGCGGAUGACUGGACGGCAACUGACGGUGAGGCGCGAAAGCGUGGGGAGCAAACAGGAUUAGAUACCCUAGUAGUC
RNAcentral lists this ribosomal RNA (443 nucleotides) under uncultured bacterium. RNAcentral describes it as "partial 16S ribosomal RNA". It matches the Rfam family "Bacterial small subunit ribosomal RNA", at positions 338 to 795 of the family's 1533-position model. The record is from RNAcentral.